UACGUAGGGUGCGAGCGUUAAUCGGAAUUACUGGGCGUAAAGCGUGCGCAGGCGGUUUUGUAAGCCAGAUGUGAAAGCCCCGGGCUCAACCUGGGAAUGGCAUUUGGGACUGCAAGGCUGGAGUUUGGCAGAGGAGACUGGAAUUCCUGGUGUAGCAGUGAAAUGCGUAGAUAUCAGGAGGAAUACCAAAGGCGAAGGCAGGUCACUGGGCAGUUACUGACACUGAGGCACGAAGGCUAGGGGAGCAAACGGG
RNAcentral lists this ribosomal RNA (253 nucleotides) under uncultured bacterium. Its description in RNAcentral is "partial 16S ribosomal RNA". It matches the Rfam family "Bacterial small subunit ribosomal RNA", at positions 524 to 776 of the family's 1533-position model. The record is from RNAcentral.